Molecule: transfer RNA, 75 nt
Filed under: Rickettsiales bacterium
Lineage: Bacteria; Pseudomonadati; Pseudomonadota; Alphaproteobacteria; Rickettsiales
Description: tRNA-Glu
Rfam family: tRNA
About the family: Transfer RNA (tRNA) molecules are approximately 80 nucleotides in length. Their secondary structure includes four short double-helical elements and three loops (D, anti-codon, and T loops). Further hydrogen bonds mediate the characteristic L-shaped molecular structure. tRNAs have two regions of fundamental functional importance: the anti-codon, which is responsible for specific mRNA codon recognition, and the 3' end, to which the tRNAs corresponding amino acid is attached (by aminoacyl-tRNA synthetases). tRNAs cope with the degeneracy of the genetic code in two manners: having more than one tRNA (with a specific anti-codon) for a particular amino acid; and 'wobble' base-pairing, i.e. permitting non-standard base-pairing at the 3rd anti-codon position.
Source: RNAcentral
GGUCUGUUCAUCUAGCGGUUAGGAUGCUACCCUCUCACGGUGGAAACAUGGGUUCGAGUCCCAUACAGAUCACCA